GCCAUUGAUUUUUUGCCUUAAGUCAUGUUGAAUGUAAUAAGCACAUCUAUAUAAUAAGGGAAGAUGGUUUUUGAAAAUCUAUACAAAUGUCUGAGAGAUACAUUUAAUUUGGACGGCUGAGAUGUCUAAAAUGUUUAGAUCAAUGGUUUAGAUCAAUGGGUGGUUCCCGCCCAACACAUUUCAUUUGAUUUGCCUAUAUCUAUCCUCUGUCUCCUUCAUACCCUCUGUCUACCAUCUGUCUUCCCAUACCCUCUACCUUCCCUCUCUAUCUCCCUCUCUGUCUCCCUCUCUGUCUACCGUCUGUCUCCCUAUUCCUACUCUGCACUGACUCUCCCCUCAGUAUCUACCUUCCCUCUCUAUCUCCCUUUCUUGCUCUGUUUUUGGGUUUAUCUUAUUGUAUUGGGUUUGGAUUUUGAGUUAUACGGGUGAUAUUGAGCCAACUGGUAUAUACGGGUGAGUUAUAGAUAUAUGGAAAAGAAAUUCUGCUCAGACUUUAACCAAUUCUACAGGUCAGCAUUGGUGAUUUGUCUGCUCUGCCCAUUUUGAGUUUAAAUUCAUUGAAGUUGAUGUUGAUUACCUUCUGGGAAAACACUUAUUCCCUUUUUGUAUUUAAUGUAUUUCCUUUGUUUAAACCUGAUGAUACUUCUUCUCUUUGCUGGACUUCUGCAUUUGUAAACCAUUAUAGCCCUUAUUGACCUGGUAGUAAUUGAUUUACAGGUUUGCCACUCUCAAGGAGCCAAUCAGAUUCAGCAAGGACGAGUCCUAUUGGUGAUCCAAUAGAGGACAAAGUGAUAGUGUCUGAGCUGAGAAAUGCUUCAAAUAGAAGAUCAAAUGGAACACCCAUAGACCAUGAAAUGUCGAAAGAAGUUGAGUCCAAGCAUAAUCCUCCCAGUGUGGUCGCCAAGUUGAUGGGGCUUGAUACCCUUCCAUGGCAACAGUCUGAUUCUGCUGCGCAAAGAAGUCAUUCAAGAGACUAUGCACGAAGUCAUUCAGCAAUCACAGAAAGGAAGUUAUGUAAGAGAUAAAUCACCACAGAAAAGAAGGUAUAAUGAGAAUACAAAUGAGAAAAAGAUGGCCUUAGUUCGUCAGAAGUUCAUCGAAGAAAAACGCCUAGCCACAGAUGAAAAACUUCGCCAAU
Camellia sinensis is the source of this 1138-nucleotide non-coding RNA. The record is from RefSeq and is a predicted model, not a curated record. Lineage: Eukaryota; Viridiplantae; Streptophyta; Magnoliopsida; Ericales; Theaceae.